GACGAACGCUGGCGGCGUGCUUAACACAUGCAAGUCGAACGGAAAGGCCCUGCUUUUGUGGGGUGCUCGAGUGGCGAACGGGUGAGUAACACGUGAGUAACCUGCCCUUGACUUUGGGAUAACUUCAGGAAACUGGGGCUAAUACCGGAUAGGAGCUCCUUCUGCAUGGUGGGGGCUGGAAAGUUUCGGCGGUUGGGGAUGGACUCGCGGCUUAUCAGCUUGUUGGUGGGGUAGUGGCUUACCAAGGCUUUGACGGGUAGCCGGCCUGAGAGGGUGACCGGCCACAUUGGGACUGAGAUACGGCCCAGACUCCUACGGGAGGCAGCAGUGGGGAAUAUUGCACAAUGGGCGGAAGCCUGAUGCAGCAACGCCGCGUGCGGGAUGACGGCCUUCGGGUUGUAAACCGCUUUCGCCUGUGACGAAGCGUGAGUGACGGUAAUGGGUAAAGAAGCACCGGCUAACUACGUG
Molecule: ribosomal RNA, 468 nt
Filed under: uncultured bacterium
Lineage: Bacteria
Description: partial 16S ribosomal RNA
Rfam family: Bacterial small subunit ribosomal RNA
Source: RNAcentral